GGCUCGGUGGUCUAGGGCGUAUGAUUCUCGCUUCGGGUGCGAGAGGUCCCGGGUUCAAAUCCCGGCCGAGCCG
This is a non-coding RNA of Caerostris darwini, 73 nucleotides long. The record is from the annotation of a GenBank genome assembly. Lineage: Eukaryota; Metazoa; Arthropoda; Arachnida; Araneae; Araneidae.